UAGGGAAUCUUCCGCAAUGGACGAAAGUCUGACGGAGCAACGCCGCGUGAGUGAUGAAGGUUUUCGGAUCGUAAAGCUCUGUUGCCAGGGAAGAACAGCUAGGCGAGUAACUGCGCUUAGAAUGACGGUACCUGAGAAGAAAGCCCCGGCUAACUACGUGCCAGCAGCCGCGGUAAUACGUAGGGGGCAAGCGUUGUCCGGAAUUAUUGGGCGUAAAGCGCGCGCAGGCGGCUUUGUAAGUCUAGUGUUUAAUCUCGGAGCUCAACUCCGAUUCGCACCGGAAACUGCAAGGCUUGAGUACAGAAGAGGAAAGUGGAAUUCCACGUGUAGCGGUGAAAUGCGUAGAGAUGUGGAGGAACACCAGUGGCGAAGGCGACUUUCUGGGCUGUAACUGACGCUGAGGCGCGAAAGCGUGGGGAGCAAACA
This 426-nucleotide ribosomal RNA is filed under the name uncultured Paenibacillus sp. RNAcentral's name for it is "bacterial SSU rRNA". It matches the Rfam family "Bacterial small subunit ribosomal RNA", at positions 355 to 774 of the family's 1533-position model. The record is from RNAcentral. Lineage: Bacteria; Bacillati; Bacillota; Bacilli; Caryophanales; Paenibacillaceae. RNAcentral also lists the same sequence under 1 other name.